CAGCAAGGAGGGGGAGGAGGGAUGGCAGACAAGGUUAACAUAUAUAGUUGUAAUAUCUGAGAGACCACACAAGUUCGAUGAAUGCUUUCAAUUCCAGUUUCUCCAUGGUUUCCCAAUGCCAAAGAUUUUAUUAUGAAGCUAAGCUUCUAGACACACAUCUGUUCUGGUUGUUAUGUGUAUGAGUUGACAUUAAGCAUGAAGCUAUUUCGACUGUGUAAAUGUGUUAAUUUAUCAACAAAACCUUGGUGAAUCUACAAUCAGGGGGAGCCUUGAUGCCUUCUCAUGUAAAGCAUGCAGGAAAUAAUUGUUGACUUUCAAUAAGCUUUGAAUAUAAGG
Molecule: long non-coding RNA, 336 nt
Organism: Triticum aestivum (bread wheat)
Lineage: Eukaryota; Viridiplantae; Streptophyta; Magnoliopsida; Poales; Poaceae
Exons: 5
Source: RefSeq, a predicted model, not a curated record